CUACGGGUUGCUGCAGUGGGGAAUAUUGGACAAUGGGGGCAACCCUGAUCCAGCAAUGCCGCGUGUGUGAAGAAGGCCUGCGGGUUGUAAAGCACUUUCAGUAGGGAGGAAGGUUUGAUGGUUAAUACCCAUCAAAAUUGACGUUACUUACAGAAGAAGCACCGGCUAACUCUAUGCCAGCAGCCGCGGUAAUACAGAGGGUGCGAGCGUUAAUCGGAAUUACUGGGCGUAAAGGGUGCGUAGGUGGUUAAAUUAGUUAGGUGUGAAAGCCCUGGGCUCAACCUGGGAAAGUCGCUUAAUACUGUUUAACUAGAGUACUGUAGAGGGAAGUGGAAUUUCCGGUGUAGCGGUGAAAUGCGUAGAUAUCGGAAGGAACACCAGUGGCGAAGGCGGCUUCCUGGACAGAUACUGACACUGAGGCACGAAAGCGUGGGUAGCAAUCAGGAUUAGAUACCCGAGUAGUC
This 464-nucleotide ribosomal RNA is filed under the name uncultured bacterium. Its description in RNAcentral is "partial 16S ribosomal RNA". It matches the Rfam family "Bacterial small subunit ribosomal RNA", at positions 339 to 795 of the family's 1533-position model. The record is from RNAcentral.